UGGGGAAUUUUGGACAAUGGGCGCAAGCCUGAUCCAGCCAUGCCGCGUGCGGGAAGAAGGCCUUCGGGUUGUAAACCGCUUUUGUCAGGGAAGAAACGGCCGUCGCUAAUACCGAUGGCUAAUGACGGUACCUGAAGAAUAAGCACCGGCUAACUACGUGCCAGCAGCCGCGGUAAUACGUAGGGUGCAAGCGUUAAUCGGAAUUACUGGGCGUAAAGCGUGCGCAGGCGGUCAUGCAAGACAGAUGUGAAAUCCCCGGGCUCAACCUGGGAACUGCAUUUGUGACUGCAUGACUUGAGUACGGUAGAGGGGGAUGGAAUUCCGCGUGUAGCAGUGAAAUGCGUAGAUAUGCGGAGGAACACCGAUGGCGAAGGCAAUCCCCUGGACCUGUACUGACGCUCAUGCACGAAAGCGUGGGGAGCAAACAGG
RNAcentral lists this ribosomal RNA (429 nucleotides) under uncultured bacterium. Its description in RNAcentral is "bacterial SSU rRNA". It matches the Rfam family "Bacterial small subunit ribosomal RNA", at positions 355 to 776 of the family's 1533-position model. The record is from RNAcentral.